RNAcentral lists this unclassified non-coding RNA (344 nucleotides) under soil metagenome. RNAcentral describes it as "partial contains 5.8S ribosomal RNA, internal transcribed spacer 2, and large subunit ribosomal RNA". The stretch from base 1 to 120 matches the Rfam family "5.8S ribosomal RNA", at positions 35 to 154 of the family's 154-position model. The record is from RNAcentral.
GAUGAAGAACGUAGCGAAAUGCGAUAAGUAAUGUGAAUUGCAGAAUUCAGUGAAUCAUCGAAUCUUUGAACGCACAUUGCGCCCGCCGGUAUUCCGGCGGGCAUGCCUGUUCGAGCGUCAUUUCAACCAUCAAGCCCUGGGCUUGUGUUGGGGACCUGCGGCUGCCGCAGGCCCUGAAAUGCAGUGGCGGGCUCGCAAGACACACCGAGCGUAGUAGCUUACAACCUCGCUUUGGGAGUGCUGCGGGUGCUGGCCGUAAAGCGACCUUUGCGUCUUUAGCACUAGGUUGACCUCGGAUCAGGUAGGAGGACCCGCUGAACUUAAGCAUAUCAAUAGGCGGAGGA